RNAcentral lists this ribosomal RNA (877 nucleotides) under uncultured bacterium. RNAcentral's name for it is "bacterial SSU rRNA". It matches the Rfam family "Bacterial small subunit ribosomal RNA", at positions 505 to 1398 of the family's 1533-position model. The record is from RNAcentral.
GUGCCAGCCGCCGCGGUAAUACGUAGGAUGCAAGCGUUGUCCGGAUUUACUGGGCGUAAAGCGCGCGCAGGCGGCAUACCAAGUAUUCAGUGAAAUCUCCCUGCUCAACGGGGAGGGUGCUGAGUAGACUGGUAAGCUAGAGGACGGUAGAGGGGGGUAGAAUUGCUGGUGUAGCGGUGAAAUGCGUAGAGAUCAGCAGGAAUACCCGUGGCGAAGGCGGCCCCCUGGGCCGUUUCUGACGCUGAGGCGCGAAGGCUAGGGGAGCGAACGGGAUUAGAUACCCCGGUAGUCCUAGCAGUAAACGAUGGCCACUAGGUGUGAGGGGUGUUGACCCCCCUUGUGCCGAAGCUAACGCAUUAAGUGGCCCGCCUGGGGAGUACGGUCGCAAGACUAAAACUCAAAGGAAUUGACGGGGACCCGCUCAAGCAGCGGAGCGUGUGGUUUAAUUCGAUGCGACGCGAAGAACCUUACCUGGGCUUGACAUGGCAUCGCAACCUCUCGAAAGAGGGGCCUCCUUCGGGACGGUGUCACAGAUGUUGCAUGGCUGUCGUCAGCUCGUGUCGUGAGAUGUUGGGUUAAGUCCCGCAACGAGCGCAACCCUUGUUUCUAGUUGAAUAUCUAGAGAGACUGCCGCACACAAAGCGGAGGAAGGUGGGGAUGACGUCAAGUCAGCAUGACUCUUACGUCCAGGGCUACACACACGCUACAAUGGCAGUUACAGUGAGAAGCCAGCCCGCGAGGGUGAGCAGACCUCCUAAAGGCUGCCUCAGUUCAGAUUGCACUCUGCAACUCGAGUGCAUGAAGUUGGAGUUGCUAGUAACCGCGUGUCAGCAUAGCGCGGUGAAUAUGUUCCCGGGUCUUGUACUCACCGCCCGUC